GCUGCCCUGAGACAGGUUGUCCUCCAGGUCGCUCUGGCAACCCUCGUCGUUGAGCGAACUCUGUUUGGUCACCUUAGGCGACAGCAGCUUAACCAGGUCGCCCAGU
Monodelphis domestica (gray short-tailed opossum) is the source of this 106-nucleotide microRNA precursor. It matches the Rfam family "mir-2968 microRNA precursor family". Lineage: Eukaryota; Metazoa; Chordata; Mammalia; Didelphimorphia; Didelphidae. The record is from Rfam.